This is a non-coding RNA of Solea senegalensis (Senegalese sole), 80 nucleotides long. Lineage: Eukaryota; Metazoa; Chordata; Actinopteri; Pleuronectiformes; Soleidae. The record is from the annotation of a RefSeq genome assembly.
GCCACGGUUGGCGUAGUGGUUAGCGCUCUUGCCUUUGCAGCAAGAAGACCCGGGUUCAAGCCCCGGUUCCAACCGGGGCA